UUCUGUAUAGCUUGAAGCUAUUCUGAAACAGGGAGGGCAGUGGUAAUAAUCAUAGAAAGCUUUGUGUUGUAGGUGGUUUCCUCCUAGCAACCUGUAAUCAUCUGCUGGUGUUUGCUUAAUUCACUUAGUGGAUGAAAUUGCCAUGAGAUCGCACUAGGGUGAUGCUUACAUUUGGGUUGACUGUUUUCUGCAAUUGCUGUUGCUAAUUCAGAAGAAAUGCAGAGACAAUGAAAUGAAGCAGAAAAUUUUCAAUUGUAGAAGCAGAAAUGAAUUGCUGAAUCUGGGCAGUGCUGAAUUUGGACAGUAGGCAAACUCUGAGAAAUUAUUGCACUUGAACUACAAAUCCAGAAGCUAUAGAGGAAAGGAAAGGGCAAGGUGUUGAUGUCACUGUCGAUUUCAGAUGUUGCUGCUGUAAAGCUUAAUAUGUAUGGAAGAAUCUAGCACGUCAGAAAUGAACUGAUCAGCCUAGUGCAUGGUGCAAGGAAAAAAAUUUCAGAAUCAGCCUAGUUCAGUUGUUUCUGUUUUCAGUCUGAUUUUUGUUCUGAAUUGCAGGACUGGAGGAGAUUAGAAAAGGAAAAGAGUGAUGAAUUAAACUCAUCAAGUUCUUGCUGUCUGAAUUUUGAUGUUUAUCCAGCAAAUUCAGAUCUAAAUGUCUGAUACAGAAUCCUGCCUUUAUUUACUGCCCAUUGUACACCUCAAGCAAAUCAGAUAUAAUUUCAUGAGUUGCAGAAUUGAAAUUAAAAGUCUAGCAGAUUCUUAAACUGUAGUUGAAUCUGAAUUCAGAAUUGGUGUGAUUUGUUUGAAACAAGUGUUGUGCCGAUUAUGGUUGAUGUGUCUGGUCAGCUUGGUUUGGAGUUUAAUAUCCUGUUUAUUUAGUGUUAAAUGAGAUUCUCGAAUAGGCUUAACCUUACAAGUCUUAUGCUGAAAGACUUUCAGAUUGCUAAUUCUGAAAUUUUCUUUGGAAGCAUUAACUCUGUGAAGCUGAAUUCUGGAUUCUAGAUGCAGAAAAAAAAAAAAAUGUUUGUCAAUUAAAUUCUGAAAAUUCUCAGAGAAGUGCAAGAUGGCGAUAGGGAGAGUUGGUUGGAGAAGAGCUAAGUUUGGAAUUGGCUGACUUCUGGAUAUUGAAUUGUGAGAAGAAACGAAGCAGAAGAGAGAAAAAAAAAAAACCCUGCAGAACAUGAAGGAACUAUAAAUACUGCUCGUGCCAAAUCUUCAAGCUUUUCCUGAUCAGUAGCAAACUAAAUUAAAGCUGAACUCUUAAUGAUUUAAUUUGAAACUCAUUUGAAAUUUGGAUUUCUGGAAUGCUGAAGUUGGAACCCUGUUUAGUGCCAAUUUUUCAUGUUGAUUUUGCAGCAAUCAGGAUUCCUUCUCCUAAAGGUUGCAGCACUUAAAUGAAAGUCUUGACAGAACUAAAUUCUUCUUGAGAUAAAUUGAGAUUUCCUUGAAUUAUAAAAUCGGUAUUGAAGAUCAGAAGUCAUGUGCAGAGUUCUUACUAAUUUCACACAGAAAGAAACACAUACUUUUGAGUUCACAGAACAGCCUCUGAUAUCUGAAGAAGAUGGGAUUGCAGAAUCCAGGAAAUGCAGAAAUGUUAAGUCUGAAUGAAGAACGUGCAAUUAUGUAUCAGUUUUGUGUGCUAAAUAGUGGAUGCAAUUUCCUUAUCAGCAGAAAGUAUAAGCACAACUUUUGAUUGUUGAACCAUUUGAAUUAAUCAUAUGCUGCUGGAACAUAAGGAUACAGUUGGUCUUUUAUCUAUUGAAUGCUUGGUGAGAUGUCUGAAAUUGAAGGAUUAAAGUUUAACUCUUGUAUGGUUUGAAGUCUGCAAUUUCAAUGGAUGAAAAUUCUGAACCUGAGGCAGCUUAAUUUAGCAGUUAGAUGCAGAAAUUUGUUUGUCUAAUUUUCCAGCAGUGAAGACACAAGAACUAAUGAAACUCAAGGAUUUGGAUUCAGCUGAUAAGAGCUGUAAAUGAAAAAAUGGAGACAGCUAUAGCAGUUUUCAUCAGAUCAGAAUCUGAAUUCUGAAACUUUCUGAAUCCUGUUUAAUGUUGUUUAGUUCUGAUUUUCUACUUCUUUCUGAUAUGAUCUGAGCUUUUGCCGGAGUUAAGGUUUGGAAUCAUAUCUCUUGACUACUUAAGUUCCGAAAGAAUAGAAGAACAGAAAAAGAGAAAGUAAAGAAGGGAAAAGCUGCAGAUUGGAGACAAGAAACAAUAGUUAAAGAGUUGCAGAUGCAUGAUGUAUUCCUUUGUCCGAGACGGACAAUGUUUUAAGUGUGGGGGAGGGAUUCCUUAUCCAUUAGUUGAU
Long non-coding RNA from Zingiber officinale, 2301 nucleotides. RefSeq lists it as uncharacterized. The transcript is spliced from 2 exons. The record is from RefSeq and is a predicted model, not a curated record. NCBI's taxonomy places the organism in Eukaryota, Viridiplantae, Streptophyta, Magnoliopsida, Zingiberales, Zingiberaceae.